GCCUUCAGCUGUCAACUAGCUGUACUACAUCGGCUUCACCUGUUCACUUCUUUCAUUCAUUGUUCACAUCUUUGCCCCACAGUUUCUCUGAGCACUGAGAUGAAACUCUGGCUUUCACCAGGGAAGGAUGUGGUUGGUUAAAAGUUGACACAGAAAGCUGUUGGUUUAUCAACUUUCUACAGACUACCUAGAUAACACUCAUUACUCACAAACACAACAACACACAGACUAACAGACUCCACAUAGGAGGAGGGCGUACUGGGGAGGAGGGCGUACUGGGGAGGAGGAGGUACUGGGGAGGAGGGCGUACUGGGGAGGAGGAGGUACUGGGGAGGAGGGCGUACUGGGGAGGAGGGCGUACUGGGGAGGAGGACGUACUGGGGAGGAGGGCGUACUGGGGAGGAGGGCGUACUGGGGAGGAGGACGUACUGGGGAGGAGGUGGUACUGGGGAGGAGGGCGUACUGGGGAGGAGGGCGUACUGGGGAGGAGGACGUACUGGAGAGGAGGACGUACUGGGGAGGAGGACGUACUGGAGAGGAGGACGUACUGGUGAGGAGGACGUACUGGUGAGGAGGACGUACUGGGAGGAAGACGUACUGGGGAGGAGGACGUACUGGGGAGGAGGACGUACUGGGGAGGAGGGUGUACUGGGGAGGAGGGCGUACUGGGGAGGAGGGCGUACUGGGAGGAAGACGUACUGGAGAGGAGGAGGUACUGGGAGGAAGACGUACUGGGGAGGAGGACGUACUGGGAGGAAGACGUACUGGGGAGGAGGACGUACUGGGGAGGAGGGUGUACUGGGGAGGAGGGUGUACUGGGGAGGAGGACGUACUGGGGAGGAGGAGGACGUACUGGAGAGGAGGACGUACUGGGGAGGAGGGCGUACUGGGAGGAAGACGUACUGGAGAGGAGGAGGUACUGGGGAGGAGGAGGACGUACUGGGGAGGAGGAGGACGUACUGGGGAGGAGGAGGACGUACUGGGGAGGAGGAGGACGUACUGGGGAGGAGGAGGACGUACUGGGGAGGAGGAG
This 1033-nucleotide long non-coding RNA is filed under the name Salmo salar (Atlantic salmon). RNAcentral's name for it is "lncRNA (ENSSSAG00000087084.1)". The record is from RNAcentral. Lineage: Eukaryota; Metazoa; Chordata; Actinopteri; Salmoniformes; Salmonidae.